Molecule: long non-coding RNA, 5293 nt
Filed under: Marmota monax (woodchuck)
Lineage: Eukaryota; Metazoa; Chordata; Mammalia; Rodentia; Sciuridae
Source: RNAcentral
CCAGGGUGAGGGUAGUGGACGGCUGGGUGACCCCCCUUCCCAGGGAACGGCGCCUUCCCUCCCGCCGCAGCGUGUGGGGCUCCAGGGCGCCGUGUCCCCCCAGCCCUGCACUGCGGGACAGCAGGCGGAGCUCGCUGGGCCCGCUCCUGACGGCCGGUCUUGUGAAGUCUUGGCAGAACCCCUUUUCAGGUCCUCCUCCAGCGUUUAUUUUGGGCACUGGUUCUGGUUUUCUUUUUUGUGGGGCUGGGGACGGAAGCCGGGGUCUCGAACAUGCUGGGCAAGUGCUGUCCCACAGAGCCACAGCCCGGCCUGCGUGUUCUUCGGCCCUGGAGCCGUUGGAGCCCCCCGAGGAUCCUCCAGACGCCUGACUUGUGAAUAUCCCCCGUCUCUGUUCACUUUGGGUCGUGUCUUUGAAGCUUUCUAAGUUUGACCAAGUCUGACAUCUCUGCUGCUUUUGGUGUCCCCCCGAGAGCCCGCUGAAACCUCAGGGUGGUGGAGAUUCAUCGCUAAGCAGCAGGCGAUGGAGGUUCUGGUCCCGCCUUGUGGGUCUGGUCUCCUGUGGUUUUUGCCGCGGCGUGAGGUAGGGAUCUGGCUGUACUCUGCUCUGUGCCGUCGUGACGUCCUUGUAUCAAGGCUUGCUGUGACAUCCGUGUGGAGGACAGACCGCAGGGCAGGGAGGAAGCAGGGGAUCAGCUUCCCGUCCUGCGUGGCCAUCUGUCCCAAGGAAGGGUUCCUGAGCCACCAGGAGGUGACGUUCAAGAGCCUGACAGACCCAGCACUUGGCAGCCUCCGCAGCAGAGACUGCUCUAGGCAGGAGUGCCCGCGGGUCCCAAAGCCAGCGGGUGGAACGUCACGAGUCACAGGCCACGCACACAAGGUGUCAGGUAGGGAAAGUGCAGUGUUCAGGGGGCGGGCCAGAGGCACCCCGGUAGUGGACACGCACCUGCAGGCCUCCUGACGCCUUGCCCAGAGGACACAGCCCCCCCCCCCCCAGGUCCUGCCCCGUCAGGCAGGCUGAGUCUUGUCACGAGGCGAUUGCCGGCGCGCCCAAGCCAAGGGCGUUAAAGUAACUGCCUGAGAAGGGCCCGGAAGACGGAGAGACCUUCCCACGGAGAGCCACAGGGUACAGCGGCAGGCAACGUGUGGGUCAGGACUUUUGGUCUAAAGGGCUUUUUGUGGCAGUUGGUGAAAUCCCAGGGAGGUCUCAGAUCAGGAAGCUACAGGAAUCCGAGCCGAGGCCUGACCUCCAGGGCUCUGUGGUGGCUGGGAAGAGCCACUCAUCCUCAGGAUGAGCGUGGUGACGUGUGCAGGGGAAGCACGUCCCCCACCUCGGCCAGGCAGGGCGAGGAAACAGGCAGCGGAGCCCCGCUGGGAGCAGGCGUUCGUGCCCUCGUGUGAGCUUCUUCACCCUGCUCGCCCUGCCUGCCCACGGGGGUCCCCUGAACCUGCCGGAGGCCUGCCUGUGAGGGGCCCAUGACCUCCUUCCAGGUGAAGGGCCAUCAGGGAAGCUAGCACUUACUUCCCGGGCUUUGGGGUCGAACCUUUGCCUGAAUUGUGGCUGUGUGACCUGCGGUAAGUGGGUUAACUUCUCUGGGACAAACUCCCAUACCUCCACAUGCAGACUCUGACUCCUGCCUCGCGGGCGUGAGAGUGAAGCACCGUCAGACAGAGCGGAGGGCUGUUGCAAGGCCUGGCACGGCCCCUGGCACGUUUACCGAACGAAAAGCCAGGGAAGAAUGAGAGAGUGGCCUGUCUCGGGGGCCACUCAUCCUCUCGCAGCGUCUGUUAGAAGCUCUGGGGGGAUUACCAGGAAAUGUCAACCUGACUUAAUAAGCCAUGUGUCACGUUGUCAUGUUCGUCUGCACCUUUCCUCGGUGUCCCGGGGUGGGCGCUGGGCAGGCCCCUGCCUGCUGCUCAGGCCGUGUCCCCACGUGCACACGGCUCACGUUCCAGCGCCCGCGGGCCUGCUGUGGACAGGGAUGGGCCCUGCUCCUUUUGCUCGGUGACAAGCUCCCUGGUUCAUGCCUGGUCCUGCACAGGUGCUGAGCGUCUGCCCCUCCUGAGCCUCCCAUUUUUUCCCGGGGGCCCCCAACCUCCUCAUGGUGGGGUCCCUCAGCCAGGGGUCCCCUCCUGGGAGUCCCCUGCCAGGGUCUUCUCUGCAGUGCUGUCCCCCCAGCUGCCGGGUGGCCCCGCAGCCUCUGUUCUGUGGGCCAGUUGGCUGUCUCCCUUUGGAAACCUCAGAGGCCCUGAGCGGCUGGAUGCCCACGGCAGCUAAGCAGGCCCAGGAGGCCAGCCCACCCCCUUUCCCCACGUCUCGUGUCCUCUGUUUGCGCCAGCCUUCAUGGGAACCUGGAGGCCCAGCAGCCCAGGAGGCCACGAGGUGGGUCUGCUGGCCACGCUGGACACCCUGUCCCACCUUCUGGCCAGCAGGUGGAGCCAUCCCACACUUUAUGGCCCUGAGGUGCUGGUGCCGGGAAGCUGGGUUUGUCUCCGAAGGCGGCUUCAAGAUCCAGGGGCUACGGUGUCCCUGAACAGUCACUGGGGGGGGGGGGGUCAUCCUGGUCUCCACCCAGGUUUUGCACUGAGUUUUGAGGCCAGAAGAGAAUUUCAUUUAGAUACCCCAGGAUACCUGCAGGAAGGCGGGUGGGCUGGACCGUGGGCACUGGCCCUGCCCGCCAGGCCCUGCCCUGUGCCCUGUGCCCUGUGCUCUGUGUCCAGGCAAGUUAUAGACCACUCUGAGCCUCAGUUUCCUCACCCGAGAGGCAGAGAUGGGAGUCCAGUGCCACAGCUGUCCAGGGGCUCAGCCGAUGCUUGCUCCGUGGCUGUGGGUGGCCUGGGGGUUGCAGAACGGCAGGUGCCCUCUGUCAUGCGGGGGGCACUGGUGGUGCUUCCACAGGACCCAGCCUGCCUCACAGACCUGAGGGAAAUGGGGCCACAGUCUUUCUGGAGGGUCCCCUGGGGACAUGCUGAGUGGACUGUGGUGUCAGCAUUGGAGCAGGUGCCUUGAGCUGGGCAUCAGAGGACUGUAGGGCCUCUCCAGGGAAGGGCCUGUGAGCAGAGGGAGUGGCCAGGCAAGGGUGAGACGGGCCCCCUGGCUGGGCCCAAGGGGUGGUGUGGAGGGGCCCAUUGAGAGGGUCUUACUGAGGUGGGGCGGUGGCCCUGGGCUGGGGCUCUGGAGGACAUCGAACCAGGCUGAAGCAAGCCCCCCAGCAAGGAUGGAGUCCCACCGCUCGGGGCCUUCAUCUUCCCCCCAACAUGGUGGCGCAGGCAGGGCACCCCCCGAGCCUCAGACUGAGAUUGUGGAAAAGGGAGUCCGGGGUGGGCCACGCCUGUGGGGAGCUGCUCCGGAGGCUGAGGCAGGAGGUUAGAAGUCCCAGGCCGGCCUGGGCGACUUAAUGAGAUUCCACCUCAAAAUAAAAUAAUAGGCAGGGCUGGGACUCCAGGCGGAGUGCUGCCUGUCUACCCCCACGGCCCUGGUCCCACUCCCAGGAGAACGGAGCCACCCAGCCCCGGAGGCUGGGCCGAUCGCUCCUCUCUGCCUCCAUUCCUGCCUGGGUCCCCUCUGCCGCCGGCUUGUGUGCUGUUGGCCACCUGGGCGGGGGCCUGGGGCGCUCCUUCCUUGCAGGAGGUCAGGGCCAGGCCCUUCCUGCACCUCCUCUCUGCUGAGCCUCCAGCUGGGCUCUGCCUGGAGGCCCGCCCCGCCCGGUGAUGCUGCUGCACCCGCAGGUGCAAGGGCUCCGACUCAGGGUCGCUCUUGCUUCUCAGAGUCGGCGAGCAGAGCUGCCGCUCGCGGGGCCCUGGGCCCCCGGCGCCUUCACUGGCCCCCACAAGCGCAGGAACAUGGACCCCUCUGGAACUGGGUCUCUGGCCCCUAGCAUCUGGCCAUCUGUCCAGAGGCCAGUGUCAGCAUGGCCGGGUGAUUUCCUGUGGAGGCGCGGCACCCGGGAUGGCCAGGCGAUGGCAUCGGGCUGUGGGCUGCUGUUCCCAUCUGGGGACAGGAAGGGCCCUGAGAUGGAACCACCUUGGGCAAGGGCACAAUCUGACUGUCCCUGACGGUGACCCCUCCACCAGGGCUGGGAGGAGCAGGCCUGGCCAAGCCCCUAGUUUCCACAGUGGACCCUGGGAAGUCGGGAAAGUGGAAGGAAACCUGCAGCCCUGCCCACGGCCCCCCGGGCCAGGGGUCUCCAAGGGCCUCACAGGGGGCUUUUGUAAAGGGGCCGGAAUGUAAGAUUGGGUGGCAGGUUGUCGUGCUCACAGAACUGCCUGGCCUUGAACAGUGGCCACCCUGAUGACAAUAUUUAGUCCCAGACGCCUUCCCCGGCCGGGGCAGAGUCUGAGGCGCCCACGCCCCACAGCCACCCCUCUCCCAGCCUUCAGCAGAAGUGAGCUCCUGACCUUCCCAGCUAUCUGGCCAGGCAAGUACCAAGGAACCGAGACUGUCACGCUGGAUCUUCUGAGGACAUCUGCUGUCACACACGUCAAUCACCCUUUACCUCUGCAUCCGAGGGUCUCCCGAGUAACUUUCCCCGACAGGGCGAGCAGGUGACGGGCCACGGUGUGGCCCCCUGGGCGAGGGGGGGGUGCCCAGCUCCUCCGGUGCCUUUGAUGACUUCCUGGCACAUCAGCCCCGAGUGGCACUGACCCCUGAGCAGGGUGGGCACCUGCUGCAACCCGACAGCUGUGUGGGUCGGGGCUCUGUGGGAGGGACAGGUGCAGGGUGGUGGACCCCAGCCAUGCCCCACUCUGGGAGGCCACUGAGGGUGUGUGCCUUCAUCCCCGAGGACGGGGACGAGGACGAGUAGCUGCUCUGAGCUGCCUGCAGCUGCACGUGAGCUCCAGCUCUGCCACUCCCAGGCUCUGUGGCCCUGACCUCUCUGCCUGUCUGGGAAGUCGCACGCGCUGGCAGUGCCCUGUGCUGACCUGCACUCUCUGUGUGGCACACCCCCAGGCCCGGCCAGGCGAGGGCAGCCAGGCGCCCAGACACACGGUUGAAGGUGAGGCCUGCUCUUGGGCGCUGGCCCUGCACUGCAUGACCUGCGAGGGGGCCUCUCCCUCCACCCCGCUGGGGUACCUCUCCUGCUUUACCCUGGCCCUGGCCUUGCGCUUUGCCCCACGUAAAGGUCAAGGGUAGCCCCAUGGCACAGAUGGGCUAGAGGCUCAAAGAGAUGGAGCCCCACCCAAGUCUCCCCUGGUGCUGUGUUUUUGGAAGGCAGAGACUGUACCUUAUUUAUCUCUCGCAGUUGUGUCCAGCACCUGGUACACAGCAGGUGCUGAAUAAAUGCUUAUUAUGUUC